AUUGAACGCUGGCGGAAUGCUUUACACAUGCAAGUCGAACGGUAGAGGGGGCAACCCCUUGAGAGUGGCGAACGGGUGAGUAAUAUAUCGGAACGUGCCCAGUCGUGGGGGAUAACGUAGCGAAAGUUACGCUAAUACCGCAUACGAUCUAUGGAUGAAAGCGGGGGACCGUAAGGCCUCGCGCGAUUGGAGCGGCCGAUAUCAGAUUAGGUAGUUGGUGGGGUAAAGGCUCACCAAGCCAACGAUCUGUAGCUGGUCUGAGAGGACGACCAGCCACACUGGAACUGAGACACGGUCCAGACUCCUACGGGAGGCAGCAGUGGGGAAUUUUGGACAAUGGACGCAAGUCUGAUCCAGCCAUUCCGCGUGCAGGAUGAAGGCCCUCGGGUUGUAAACUGCUUUGUCAGGGAAGAAAUCUUCUGAGUUAACACCUCGGGAGGAUGACGGUACCUGAAGAAUAAGCACCGGCUAACUACGUG
This 479-nucleotide ribosomal RNA is filed under the name uncultured bacterium. RNAcentral describes it as "bacterial SSU rRNA". It matches the Rfam family "Bacterial small subunit ribosomal RNA", at positions 30 to 507 of the family's 1533-position model. The record is from RNAcentral.